This 263-nucleotide unclassified non-coding RNA is filed under the name Hevea brasiliensis (rubber tree). The record is from RNAcentral. Lineage: Eukaryota; Viridiplantae; Streptophyta; Magnoliopsida; Malpighiales; Euphorbiaceae.
AAAAAAGAAUUCUUCUCUCGUGAUUACACCCAAAAGGUCGUCUACAAUAGUAACUUUGAUUUGUACAGUUCACCAUCAGCUAAUUGGAGGGAUACCGUCUUUGUUCAAAUGGCUCCUGAUCCUCCCAAGCCAGAAGAGUUGCCAGCCGCAUGCAGAGAUGUACUAAUGGAGUACUCCAAGGAAGCAAUGAAAUUAGGAAAUUUAUUGCUUGAAUUGUUUUCGGAGGCUCUUGGUCUGAACCCAAACCACUUGAAAGACAUGGA